Molecule: long non-coding RNA, 584 nt
Organism: Bombyx mori (domestic silkworm)
Lineage: Eukaryota; Metazoa; Arthropoda; Insecta; Lepidoptera; Bombycidae
Exons: 2
Source: RefSeq, a predicted model, not a curated record
CUAUUUUUGUGUUUAGCUCUCGUCGCCUAGCGAUGUCUUGCCGCAAGAUAACAAAAAAAAAUCGGAAAGAUUUCAAUUAAUUUUACAAUAUUAAUGUGAUUGCUACUCGUAAUUAAUGUUCAGUUAAGAUUUAAUUUGGAUAAAGGAUACACGAUUGCUGUCAGUUGACACUUGGCAGCGAGUGCGUAGUCAAUGACACGGUCGAUAAUUACCCGCAGCUGAACUUGAAACUGUGCACGUUUAUCCCUCACGGAAAAAAUGUUCUAGUGAUUUAAAUGCAAAGCGAUGUUUGCACGAAGGUAGACGAGCGUACUGCCCACCUGACAGCCAAAUCGAGGCCCAUCAUUAAGUACUCUCUUCAAGCCUCGUUUGAAGAAGGACAUGUCGUAGCGCUCAGGAAACACCGUGGAGGGGAGUUCAUUCCAAAGCCGGAUGAUAGGUGGCAGAAAAGAUAUCUGGAAACGCAAUGUGGAUGAACCCAUUGGUCCCAGAUAGUAUGGAUAGUGUGUUUGUUAUCUAUGUAUUAAUAUUCAAUUGCAUUGUAAAUGAGAAGGUGGAUGUGAUUAAAAGCCAAUCUCCUUUGG